Molecule: ribosomal RNA, 600 nt
Filed under: uncultured bacterium
Lineage: Bacteria
Description: bacterial SSU rRNA
Rfam family: Bacterial small subunit ribosomal RNA
Source: RNAcentral
GGAUGAGCCCGCGGCCUAUCAGCUAGUUGGUGGGGUAAUGGCCUACCAAGGCGACGACGGGUAGCCGGCCUGAGAGGGCGACCGGCCACACUGGGACUGAGACACGGCCCAGACUCCUACGGGAGGCAGCAGUGGGGAAUAUUGCGCAAUGGGCGAAAGCCUGACGCAGCAACACCGCGUGAGGGAUGACGGCCUUCGGGUUGUAAACCUCUUUCAGCUCCGACGAAGCGAAAGUGACGGUAGGAGCAGAAGAAGCACCGGCUAACUACGUGCCAGCAGCCGCGGUAAUACGUAGGGUGCAAGCGUUAUCCGGAAUUAUUGGGCGUAAAGAGCUCGUAGGCGGUCCGUUGCGUCUGCCGUGAAAACCCGGAGCUCAACUCCGGGCCUGCGGUGGAUACGGGCGGACUAGAGUCCGGUAGGGGAGACUGGAAUUCCUGGUGUAGCGGUGGAAUGCGCAGAUAUCAGGAGGAACACCGGUGGCGAAGGCGGGUCUCUGGGCCGGAACUGACGCUGAGGAGCGAAAGCGUGGGGAGCGAACAGGAUUAGAUACCCUGGUAGUCCACGCCGUAAACGGUGGGCGCUAGGUGUGGGGAUCGUUUC